UACGUAGGGCGCAAGCGUUGUCCGGAAUUAUUGGGCGUAAAGAGCUCGUAGGCGGCCUGUUACGUCUGCUGUGAAAUCCCGGGGCUUAACCCCGGGCGUGCAGUGGAUACGGGCAGGCUGGAGGCAGGCAGGGGAGAACGGAAUUCCCGGUGUAGCGGUGAAAUGCGCAGAUAUCAGGAGGAACACCGGUGGCGAAGGCGGGUCUCUGGGCCGAAACUGACGCUGAGGAGCGAAAGCGUGGGGAGCAAACAGG
RNAcentral lists this ribosomal RNA (253 nucleotides) under uncultured bacterium. RNAcentral's name for it is "partial 16S ribosomal RNA". It matches the Rfam family "Bacterial small subunit ribosomal RNA", at positions 524 to 776 of the family's 1533-position model. The record is from RNAcentral.